RNAcentral lists this ribosomal RNA (466 nucleotides) under uncultured bacterium. RNAcentral describes it as "partial 16S ribosomal RNA". It matches the Rfam family "Bacterial small subunit ribosomal RNA", at positions 28 to 507 of the family's 1533-position model. The record is from RNAcentral.
GAUGAACGCUGGCGGCGUGCUUAACACAUGCAAGUCGAACGGAAAGGCUCCUGCUUGCAGGGGUACUCGAGUGGCGAACGGGUGAGUAACACGUGGGUGAUCUGCCCUUCACUUCGGGAUAAGCCUGGGAAACUGGGUCUAAUACCGGAUAGGACGAUGGUUUGGAUGCCAUUGUGGAAAGUUUUUUCGGUGUGGGAUGAGCUCGCGGCCUAUCAGCUUGUUGGUGGGGUAAUGGCCUACCAAGGCGUCGACGGGUAGCCGGCCUGAGAGGGUGUACGGCCACAUUGGGACUGAGAUACGGCCCAGACUCCUACGGGAGGCAGCAGUGGGGAAUAUUGCACAAUGGGCGCAAGCCUGAUGCAGCGACGCCGCGUGGGGGAUGACGGCCUUCGGGUUGUAAACUCCUUUCGCUAGGGACGAAGCGCACGUGACGGUACCUGGAGAAGAAGCACCGGCUAACUACGUG